Hippopotamus amphibius kiboko is the source of this 533-nucleotide long non-coding RNA. RefSeq lists it as uncharacterized. The record is from RefSeq and is a predicted model, not a curated record. The transcript is spliced from 3 exons. NCBI's taxonomy places the organism in Eukaryota, Metazoa, Chordata, Mammalia, Artiodactyla, Hippopotamidae.
CAGAGCUGCUCCUAAGCCGGCGGGUUCCUCGCUCGUUGCCGGGGCAACGGGUCGGCGACGGAGCGCCGCGAGGGCCAAGCUUUCCGCCGCGCGAUUACUAGCGACUCAGAGAGGGAAAAAAAGGCUGUGUUUUUCUCUGGUGCCCCCGCGUGGUGGGCGGGAGCGCAAUCGCAAACGUCGCUAGUCCUGGAAACGGGCAAGGAAAGAGGAAAAGAAUGCAUUCAUGACACCAAAUUCAGGAUGGUGGCUACCUGUGGGAGGAUGAAGAUUCUGCCGGUAGAGUGCUCCUGACCACAUUUGCUUUGGUGCUGCUGCCUGAUUCAAAUCAAGGAUGGGCUCUAGGCAUGCAGGCUUCAGUAGUUGCAGCACUCGGGCUCAGUGGUUGUGAUGCACGGGCUCCAUGGCAUGUGGGAUCUUCCAGAUCAGGGAUCGAACCCGUGUUUCCUGCAUUGGCAGGCAGAUGCCAAAUCACUGCGCCACCAGGGACGUCCACUCCGCCUUUUUUUAAUUUUCUUCAUUUACAUUUAUUAUAG